Molecule: long non-coding RNA, 1455 nt
Organism: Spinacia oleracea (spinach)
Lineage: Eukaryota; Viridiplantae; Streptophyta; Magnoliopsida; Caryophyllales; Amaranthaceae
Exons: 3
Source: RefSeq, a predicted model, not a curated record
UUUGCGAAUUAAUUGUUCGUCGCAUUCUUUAAUUUCUACGGUUUUGUCUGCAUUGUUUAGGGUUUUUCUAAAACCUUAAUUGCUUCAACUUUUUGAUUACUUUUGCAGUUGUUGAAUGUGUUCAUGUAAUCAGAAACAAAUGAGACACUUACCUUGACCUUUUUCUAGCUGAUUAUUACACCAAACUGUACUCCAAUUCUUGAAUCUUUUCGUUCUCUAUGUGUCUAUUUGUUGUUAAUUUUUACUUAAGGUGGUGUUUGUGUUUGAGUGUUUUGAUGAAAAUGUGUGCAUAAUUUGAAUGGUUUAUUGUGUUUAAUGGUUUUAAAUUUACGCCAUUGACGUUCACAAUCGUCGAGGGUAGUUGAGGUUAUUUUCUCUACUGAUUGAGCUUAUUGGUUUUGUAUUAUUGGAAAGAAUACUACACUACUUUUUUCUUUGUUGUUAUCUAGCAAUUUCUGGAUCAUUUGAAUCUUACUUGGAAUUUCUAAUUCUCUUUUAAUUCACUCUUUGGUUCUCGUAUAAUAAUUGGUUACAAUGUAACCUGAUUGUAGAUGUUUUGCACAAACAAUAUUGAAGUUGGUUCCAGUUUUAUUACUAGAAUAGAGAGCUGAAUUCAGAAUUUUGGGAUAGUAACCUUAGGAUUUUUGUUUGAAGUAGAAUAAGUGAAUAACCAAGUCGAUCAUGUUUUUGAAUUUGAUAAGCUAAUAUUUCCACUAUGAUUUGUGACUAUCUGAUUUCCGCUUGCAUGUUCAUUUAGCUAGGGAGAUGUGGCAAACAUGGAAAAGUCCUGGUAUUAUUGCUUGUAGUACUUUGGUAGAAGGUCUUAGGACAUCUGGAAACAUAGAAGAUGAAUUGAGGCUCGAUGUCAAGAUGCUAAAAGAGGGUGUUCUGUUGGAUAGUGUGACUUUUAACUAUCUUCUUCAAGAUGAUACUCGUGUGGGAAGACCUGUUGAAGCUUAUAAAUUAAGGUUGUUGGCUUCCAGCAAAGGUUUAGAUGUUGAUGUUGUGACCUACAACAUAUUAGUUGCUGGAACGGAAUUUCUGUUAGUUAAAAUAAUGAUGUGGCUCCCUGACCAUAGAGCUUUGACAACUGUCACUACUCAUCAUCAUUGAUGGUAGACCUUCAAUGCGGCAAACUUUCUAAAUAAUGAGAACCCUUUAACCUGUUCUCAUCUAGUAUGAAGAAAGGGAUUGCACAACAAGUGACAUUGGAACAAAUUUCUGAAGGUCUCGGUGAGCUGUCAGCCUACUUUUCUGUAAGGCUCAAUACUCAUCAGGGGAUAACUGAUGGUCUGUUCAAGCCAGUGCCUGGAACUAAUCAAGAUGAUGGCAUGAUCAGGCUUGCAAGUUUUUAGAAGAAAAUUGGUUUCUGAAGUUUACACUGGUUGUUGCCCAGAAGAAUCAUCAUACGAAGUUUUUCCAGAAAAAAGAUCCAGACAAUGUUCCAGCUGGCGA